Molecule: non-coding RNA, 1958 nt
Organism: Plutella xylostella (diamondback moth)
Lineage: Eukaryota; Metazoa; Arthropoda; Insecta; Lepidoptera; Plutellidae
Source: RefSeq, a predicted model, not a curated record
UAAUUUUAAAAAUAAAUAUUACUUUCAAUAAAAAAAUAAUGUUUAAGGUCCGAAUAAAAAUGCGUUCGUAAAAAUUAUGUUUAAAAUGUAAAAGGUCCGAAUCGUUGGUCCUAAGAGAGAAUCGCCCAUAAUUUCCGGUAAACUAACUUACUUCAACUUCGGAUCAAUUUACACGGGACAAAGGUGAAAGAAUAACAAGUAAUGUUGAAGACAAGUAAAAAAUUAAUAAAAAUAAUGGCAUCUGAGUUGAAUUAAGUAACUUCUUCUUAUAUCAAUAUUUUAUACCUUAAUUUAAAAGAAUGCUUAUAACCAUUUUAUUAUUGAAAUCUAAUACUUUACUAAUGUUAAAGAGCAGACCAAUUAAUAUUUACAAAUAUCCACAUGUAGAUAAAACUUAAUAGUAAUUUCCCUUAGUUAUUAUCUUAUCACCAACAUUAACGUAAUAUUGUCCACUGCUAAACAUAGUCGUCUCUCAAGGAGAUCUCAUAGAAAGUUAGGUUUGCUUUUGGUCGACGUUACCAGUCGAUACAAUUACACGAAAUGUGUAAAUGUUUCGCAAUUAUUACACGUGCACUAGAGAUGCCCCAGGUAAAAAAAAAACAAACAGUUACUAUGACUUGACUGUUACAGCGAAAAAAUACUAGUGACAUAAAACUAAUGUACAGUUAUUUCUAAUUCAUGUUUCUAUAAUAUUAAAGAGAGUCAAAAGAAAAACUUUACUGAUACUUUCACUGUUACCAAUUCUGUUUUAUUUUUAUAUCUACAUAGCUGAAUUUACAUUAUGAAACUAGUUUCACGUAUCUAGAAAUCCAUUACUACUUUCUAAGGUAGUAAAAGUAAUAAUGGAUUUCUAAAUGAACGAAACUAGUUUCGGCUUAAGAAACGGUUACGAUAUACGUUCCAACUCUAGCGCGCACAAUAUCAAUGUACUUAUUUCAUAGCAGUGUAACUUCUCAUUGUGAUUGGUAGGGUACACGUAUGUUAAGUGGUAAAUUUCAUAUAUUUCCUGCACUGGACCGAUCACUAGAAUUUCGGCGCCACUCCUUUGCAGAAAUAUGUGAUUUCGGAUAAGAUAUUAUAGCGAGGCCACCUUUCGCGGCGGGUUUCAAAAACUACCCCUAACCUAGCCGACAUUGGCGCCACAAGCUCGCUGUAAUUUUAUCCUUUUACCAAACAUGUCAGAUAUUUCUAGCACUGGACCGAUCACUAGAAUUUCGGCACCACUCCUUUGCAGAAAUAUGUGAUUUCGGAUAAGAUAUUAUAGCGAGGCUACCUUUCGCGGCGGGUUUCAAAAACUACCCCUAACCUAGCCGACAUUGGCGCCACAAGCUCGCUGUAAUUUUAUCCUUUUACCAAACAUGUCAGAUAUUUCUAGCACUGGACCGAUCACUAGAAUUUCGGCACCACUCCUUUGCAGAAAUAUGUGAUUUCGGAUAAGAUAUUAUAGCGAGGCUACCUUUCGCGGCGGGUUUCAAAAACUACCCCUAACCUAGCCGACAUUGGCGCCACAAGCUCGCUGUAAUUUUAUCCUUUUACCAAACAUGUCAGAUAUUUCUAGCACUGGACCGAUCACUAGAAUUUCGGCACCACUCCUUUGCAGAAAUAUGUGAUUUCGGAUAAGAUAACAUGUAGGCACACGAUCACAAGUCUCUCGGGGGUUCUUUCUCAACUCUAACUUCACACAAUAGUCAGUGGGAUAAGGUACACGUAGUGAAUUAGGUACAUAACAUCACAUUAAGUACUUGAACUUACGUAAUUGUGAAAUACAAUAUCAGUGCUCAAAAAACGCAGUGGCAGUUCUAAAUCGGUAAGUUCAUGCAUCAUAUUAUUAUCGUGCGACCAUGUAUCAUUUUAAAAUGAACAUUGUAUGAUUGCGGCGUUCUAGCUCGCUAUCGAUCGAUCGGAGCGGAGCGGCAGCGCAGCGGAGCUCGAUCGAGAGUGAGUUAGAACGCCCAAUU